This 484-nucleotide ribosomal RNA is filed under the name uncultured bacterium. Its description in RNAcentral is "partial 16S ribosomal RNA". It matches the Rfam family "Bacterial small subunit ribosomal RNA", at positions 30 to 507 of the family's 1533-position model. The record is from RNAcentral.
AUUGAACGCUGGCGGCAGGCCUAACACAUGCAAGUCGAGCGGAUGAAGGGAGCUUGCUCCUGGAUUCAGCGGCGGACGGGUGAGUAAGGCCUAGGAAUCUGCCUGGUAGUGUGGGAUAACGUCCGGAAACGGGCGCUAAUACCGCAUACGUCCUGAGGGAGAAAUGGGGGGAUCUUCGGACCUCACGCUAUCAGAUGAGCCUAGGUCGGCUUAGCUAGUUGGUGGGGUAAAGGCCUACCAGGGCGACGAUCCGUAACUGGUCUGAGAGGAUGAUCAGUCACACUGGAACUGAGACCCGUUCCAGACUCCUACGGGAGGCAGCAGUCGGGAAUAUUGGCCACUGCGCGCAAGCCUGAUCCAGCCCUGCCCCGUGUGUGAAGAAGGUCUUCGGAUUGUAAAGCACUUUAAGUUGCGAGGAUGGGCAGUCAGUUACUCCCUUGCUGUUUUGACGUUACCCACAGAAUACGCACCGGCUACCUUCGUG